Molecule: long non-coding RNA, 449 nt
Filed under: Rattus norvegicus (Norway rat)
Lineage: Eukaryota; Metazoa; Chordata; Mammalia; Rodentia; Muridae
Description: long non-coding RNA NONRATT003193
Source: RNAcentral
GUGGCACAGUCAUCCACUGGCCUUUACUGCCAUUUCUGUUACCUCAUAGCUGGAGUCAUCACAUGAGUCAGAAGCUGUGGAAAAGGAUGAGGACUACUGGGAGAUACAAAUUAGCCCAGAGUUACUGGCACGGGGGCGCAAAAAAUUAUUGCAUCUGCUGAAUGAAGGCUCAGCUCGGGAUCUGCGAAGCCUGCAGCGAAUUGGCCAGAAGAAGGCCCAGCUCAUUGUGGGCUGGAGGGAGCUGCAUGGCCCCUUUAAUGAGGUGGAGGACCUGGAACAGGUGGAAGGCAUCUCUGGGAAGCAGGUAGAGUCUUUCCUGAAGGCGAAUCUCUUGAGCUUGGCUGCCAGCCAGCACAGUGGUCCCUCUUGACUACCAGCUCUUGACACUACCUUUUUCUUUUAAAAAUUCUUGUAUAGUGAUGUUGUGUAAAUACAGCUUUUAUUCCGUG